RNA transcript from Helianthus annuus (common sunflower), 8395 nucleotides. RefSeq lists it as uncharacterized. Lineage: Eukaryota; Viridiplantae; Streptophyta; Magnoliopsida; Asterales; Asteraceae. The transcript has 4 exons. The record is from RefSeq and is a predicted model, not a curated record.
UCCAGUCACGCCAGCUCUGAUAUUUCGGGGUGUGACAGAUUGGUAUCAGAGCUAUAGGUUUCAGCGAAUUAGGUUUCUGUAGAGAUACCUAGGCUUUAACCUCACUAUCCUCUGGGGACUUAGAUAUCAAGAAUUGAACGCAUACAGAAUGCCUAAGACUCGAAUAUGGGUUCCAACCGUUGCCGAAAACAAUGAGUCAACAAUUUUGGUUUUAAACAAACACAAGUGUUGUGUUGAUACACGGUUCACGAAACAGAUUCAUACCUUUAGCAAAACUUUGAGAAUUUGGGAUAACAUGCAUUCUGGACAUUUGUAAAGCUUAUGUCGAACUCAUUAAAGGUCCUCACUUAGAAACCGUGACUAACAACUCGAGCAAACGCCAUUAUAUUAUGUCGUCUAUGCUAUUUCACUUACCUGAGCAGGUAACCUACGUGGAACAAAACGCUAGUGCACGAUGAUACCUGAAACUCAAACUAUACGUCAACGGAUGUCGGAGCACAUCACAUUCUACGCGGAACGAAACGCUAGUGCGCGAAUAUACGUGAAACUUAAACUAUACGUCAGCGGACGUCAGAGUAUAUCCCACACGACUCUCGAUGCAAGGCCUUUGAAAAUAUAAUUGGGCAUGACAACAACGAAGCUAAUCCCAUCAGCGAGAGAACUACAGGUCGAAAUGCGACAAAUUGCCACGUGAUCCUGCAAACGACACGAAUCACGCUGAGGUACGCUUAAACAAGAUUUCACAACAAUCGAUACUUAGUCUGAAGAGACUCACAAUGGUUGGCGCUGCAAAGGAAUUCACAUGUCUCCGCAUUUCCCACUACUUCAUUAAGGGCGACUAUGCUAUGUUCGACAUUCCAUGGUAAUGUCAUCUAACAACCGGCCAUUACAUGAAAUUCCAGGUAAAGUCCUUAAAUCCCUUUUGUUGAAAUUCUGACUUUUGCAUAUAGCGAGUAGACUUUCAUAUUUCUACUCCCCCUAAUGAUCCUUGCAUCACGAAAAUUUUCUUUCAUAAUAGCGAAUACUCAUUUGCUUCAUUCUUGACGAAUUCAUAUGUUACACAUGCGGUUUUUUGUUAAGCAUGUGGCUUCACUUGAAAUUGUUGCUUUAUCAAGUUCAAAUAUUAUUUCGCUAUCUUCACUCCCUGCAUUGUGAUCUAGCUAAACCACAUUAUUGCAUAAUGUUGACUCUUUGAUAUCGAGUCAACGAAACUCGUUGAAACUCCUUUCUUUUCAAGCUACAUACAUGGUUUUCGUUGUAACCAUGGCAAAACUUUCUUGUUGAUACAUGUAAUCAUUGUUGGAUUACGCUUAACCCAAGUUCAAUUGAUUGAACUUGUUCGUAAUAUAUAUUCGAUUCAAGAUUCCAUAUGAUGGAUUGAGGCCAUCAUAUUCGAAAUAAUCCUAACAAGCACUUCAUUUACUUUGAACUAUACCAUGCUUGUUUGGUCUUUGACUUCAUUGAAUCGUUUCUCUGAUCACGAUCACUUUGUGGUGGCGUCUUUCACAAGUCUGAAGCUUGUGCUAAUCUCGUUGCUCACAUUAUGUGCGGAAUUAAUUAUUUAUUUAUUUGUUAUUGAUAUUAAACUUGCCCUGUUGGUUUAUCAUAUUAAAGCAAUCUUAACACAAUCGUGUGUUAAGAUAAUGGUACACAAAUUUAUUUCAUUUUCCGGUGUACUUCUUAACGGUUCAUUCAUCAUAGAUCGAACAUUUUGCGAUAUUUAUUGCUCGUUCAUCUUCGAUCGAAAAACAUUAUUUAUUCAUUUCAUUUUCAAUUGAAAAUCCUAUGGGAUUUGUUUGGAACACCCACAUUUGUUUCGUUGAGCCUUCAUUUGAUUUAAAACACGGUGAUACUUGUUCGAUCACCGCUAUUAUUGAAUUGUUUUAUUCACUUCGGCAUCUUGUGGCGUCGGUAUAAACUUGUAGCUUGUGCUAAUCAUGAUCAAUCGCCUCAUGCGAAACUACGUAUGUUCUUUGUUUGACUAAUCACUCAAAUAGUCUUAAUGCAACUAUGUAUUAAGGCGAUGAUACACCCGGUUCGGUUGUAUUUCAUUUCGGUGUAUCUUGCAACACGUUGACUUUUAUUCAUUCAAUGGUUCGAUAAUUGAUAAAUCUUUUUUUUUUCUGAUUCUAUUUAUGUGAGUUUGUUGAAUUCGAGUUUCAUUUGUACAACAACCAACACAAGUUUUCGUUGGUAGUGAAUUCUAUUAUUUCAAAAAUUGAUUUGCAUAUUGUGAACAUUCGUUUGGAAUUCUACUGGUCGAAAUUCCUCUUUUGUUGGACCCCUGUAAACUUGGUCACAUUGGUGAUUGUAUCACUACGCUUCAUGAACAUGACAUCGAUUUCUGGAACAAACUCAGUUCAACCAUCGGGUUUUUAUUAAUGCAAAAUGUCUUUACACUCACGUAAUCCGAAUAAGUCUUGAUUCGAUUACGCGGUCAUUCGAUUUCGUAUUACCCGGACUUACCUAGGAACAACACAACUCUGAGGAGAUAACAUAAACUAAAUUUCGAGGACGAAAUUUCUGCAACAGGGGGAGAAUGUGACAACCGGUAAUUAACGGCUUCUAAUUACGCGAUUAACAAAAGUUUAAAGCGACAAUAAAUAGUGGUUAAGACGCAAAUUAACUUAAUUAGGCAUUUGGAGUGCCCAGGGACGUCUAUCCGACUUUACAGUACGCGUAUGAAGAUUCGCGUGGAAUCUGCAACAACGAACUGAUACCGUGCAAAAUACUGACAACGCCGACAAAUACGGAUUUUCUACGAAUAUUUUAUAAAUAUAAUUUUAUGAAUGUAUUGGGUUUCUGUGCGACACAAACGCAAACGUGAACUAAAAACGCGAUAGCAGGAAACGCAUCGGCAACGAAACGGAAGCGACAGAGGCGCUUGUCACCUUCAGAACUUACAUUUUACGCUAUAUUUAGCUCCGUAAUGGAAUUUUAGUAGUUACAGUCGAAAUCGGAUCGAAAAACGAAUUAGAAACGACCUCUUGAGCAAAUUUCACGAUUUUAACGCAACGGACGAACGAACGCGUCAACCGUCAACUUCCGACGCUAUUUUACAUAUCCUCGAUCCUAAAAUGACAUUGUACGACAUUACACGACGUUCCGGUGCAAAACGAGCUUUAGAAACGAGAUCGGGGGGUUCAAAAUGCUAGAAACGGGCUUGUGGGCCUUGUGCCCAAGCCCACAAAACCUUCACUAUAUAAAGGGUUUUACCCCUAAAAUCUUUCAUUUUCAUCUAAACUUUCUCUCUCUAACCCUCAAAUCCUCUCAACUCUCUCUCUCUAGAAACAAGUCCGGCGAGAAUUCCGGCCGACUUCCGGCGGAGAUCUGGCGACCGGCGACUUUUCCGGUGGAGUUCCGGCGACCGACGAUUUUCCGGCGAAUUUUCCGGCGGCCGUUUUUCGGCCAAGAGUACACUUUUUCGACUAUAUCCGACGUUCCGGAUCGCGUGGUGAGAUGCUUAGAUCGGGACUUGAGGAGCAUUUCUGCAAAUUUUCAAGAAAUUUUAUUCUCCGGCGAAAUUCCGACUUCUGACAUGGUUUUGGCGAGGUUCCAGCCGUCCGUUUUCGACGAAAAUUAUAUUUUUGGGCUCCUAAUGACCCGUAGAGUCCAUACGAAACACUUUCGUCUCGGGUGAAAAUUUAAGUUCGGGACGCUCUCGGGCUCGGGUCAACACGGUCAACAGGUCAAACACGGGUCAAGAGGCAGUUUUGGGUCAUUUUUAGUGCCUCGGUUCAGUUUCGGGUCCGGUCAACCCUGGUCAACACGGGUCAAACGUGGUCAAAGCUGGUCAAAGGUGGUCAAAGCUGCUCAAAUUCAGUCAACUGCUGGUCAACGCAGUCAACUCAGUCAACACGAAGCUCGGAAUGCUAUAGUUGCACGCUAGCUACUUCACAUUCUUGGAACGACACUACAGAAUCACGUUAAGCUAGCUUUGCACAGGAAUGUCAAGGUGAGUUCAUAACCCCCACUUUUUACUGUUUUACAUUUUUUAUAAAUGUUUUCGGGGGUGGAAAGACAUGCAAGUUUUGCAAAAAUAAACAACUUUUCGAUGAACGAAAACUCAUAUUUAUAAACCGUGUUGCGAAUGAAUUUCAAGGAACUUAAAUGGUUUACGAAUGAGUUCGAUCAAACAUACCGGUUUUACAAAUUUGAUUUGCAUAUUACGAAACGUGCAUGAUUUUCUAAUGGGUACGGGCGACACAGUCGAGGUGAUUCGACACAGUCGAGGUGAUUCGACACAGUCGAGGGGAUUCGACACAGUCGAGGUUAUUCGACACAGUCGAGGUGAUUCGACACAGUCGAGGUUAUUCGACACAGUCGAGGUGAUUCGACACAGUCGACGUGAUUCGUCACAGUCGACGUGAUUCGACAUAGUCGAGGUGAUUCGACACUAAAAACCGUCUACACGGGUUGAGUACAUCCUAUGUCGCCGCAUACGUUAAUGUCCUCGCGAAACAUUAACGAUCAACCUGUUCAUAGACGCUUUACAUACCCAUUUACAACACUAAAACUUUCAUAUAUUCAUAAUAUUCAUUUGAUGGAAACUCACAAAUACAUGAAUUACAAAUUUUGUAACGUUUUUCAAGUUAUACCUAAGUAAGAGGAAGCGCUGAUCCUGCUUACAAAGGUUCGUCUGGGCUCGGCCCAUUCUCUCUCGUGCAAUGCACCAACACUCUCGUGGGCUAGACCCACAGUUCUCAUAUAUCAUGCCAAGAAAAUGAUUUUACUAUAUUUUCUCAACAACUUUAAACCGGUUACCAAAAAGAUUUAUUUUAAAUCUUUUCAAAGCAAACUAUGAACUCGCUCAACUUUAUGUUGACUUUUUCGCAUGUUCUUUCUCACGUUGCAUUUUUCAAAACUACGGAACGGUUGGAAUAGGAUAACCCACGGGAUUUCGAGUACUUAGCAGGCGUUUAAUUUCUAGAAGUCUUAGCUUAUUUGCUUCCGCUGUGCAAUGAAGAUACCGGUCCAGUCACGCCAGCUCUGAUAUUUCGGGGUGUGACAGAUUGGUAUCAGAGCUAUAGGUUUCAGCGAAUUAGGUUUCUGUAGAGAUACCUAGGCUUUAACCUCACUAUCCUCUGGGGACUUAGAUAUCAAGAAUUGAACGCAUACAGAAUGCCUAAGACUCGAAUAUGGGUUCCAACCGUUGCCGAAAACAAUGAGUCAACAAUUUUGGUUUUAAACAAACACAAGUGUUGUGUUGAUACACGGUUCACGAAACAGAUUCAUACCUUUAGCAAAACUUUGAGAAUUUGGGAUAACAUGCAUUCUGGACAUUUGUAAAGCUUAUGUCGAACUCAUUAAAGGUCCUCACUUAGAAACCGUGACUAACAACUCGAGCAAACGCCAUUAUAUUAUGUCGUCUAUGCUAUUUCACUUACCUGAGCAGGUAACCUACGUGGAACAAAACGCUAGUGCACGAUGAUACCUGAAACUCAAACUAUACGUCAACGGAUGUCGGAGCACAUCACAUUCUACGCGGAACGAAACGCUAGUGCGCGAAUAUACGUGAAACUUAAACUAUACGUCAGCGGACGUCAGAGUAUAUCCCACACGACUCUCGAUGCAAGGCCUUUGAAAAUAUAAUUGGGCAUGACAACAACGAAGCUAAUCCCAUCAGCGAGAGAACUACAGGUCGAAAUGCGACAAAUUGCCACGUGAUCCUGCAAACGACACGAAUCACGCUGAGGUACGCUUAAACAAGAUUUCACAACAAUCGAUACUUAGUCUGAAGAGACUCACAAUGGUUGGCGCUGCAAAGGAAUUCACAUGUCUCCGCAUUUCCCACUACUUCAUUAAGGGCGACUAUGCUAUGUUCGACAUUCCAUGGUAAUGUCAUCUAACAACCGGCCAUUACAUGAAAUUCCAGGUAAAGUCCUUAAAUCCCUUUUGUUGAAAUUCUGACUUUUGCAUAUAGCGAGUAGACUUUCAUAUUUCUACUCCCCCUAAUGAUCCUUGCAUCACGAAAAUUUUCUUUCAUAAUAGCGAAUACUCAUUUGCUUCAUUCUUGACGAAUUCAUAUGUUACACAUGCGGUUUUUUGUUAAGCAUGUGGCUUCACUUGAAAUUGUUGCUUUAUCAAGUUCAAAUAUUAUUUCGCUAUCUUCACUCCUUGCAUUGUGAUCUAGCUAAACCACAUUAUUGCAUAAUGUUGACUCUUUGAUAUCGAGUCAACGAAACUCGUUGAAACUCCUUUCUUUUCAAGCUACAUACAUGGUUUUCGUUGUAACCAUGGCAAAACUUUCUUGUUGAUACAUGUAAUCAUUGUUGGAUUACGCUUAACCCAAGUUCAAUUGAUUGAACUUGUUCGUAAUAUAUAUUCGAUUCAAGAUUCCAUAUGAUGGAUUGAGGCCAUCAUAUUCGAAAUAAUCCUAACAAGCACUUCAUUUACUUUGAACUAUACCAUGCUUGUUUGGUCUUUGACUUCAUUGAAUCGUUUCUCUGAUCACGAUCACUUUGUGGUGGCGUCUUUCACAAGUCUGAAGCUUGUGCUAAUCUUAAAUGGUUUACGAAUGAGUUCGAUCAAACAUACCGGUUUUACAAAUUUGAUUUGCAUAUUACGAAACGUGCAUGAUUUUCUAAUGGGUACGGGCGACACAGUCGAGGUGAUUCGACACAGUCGAGGUGAUUCGACACAGUCGAGGGGAUUCGACACAGUCGAGGUUAUUCGACACAGUCGAGGUGAUUCGACACAGUCGAGGUUAUUCGACACAGUCGAGGUGAUUCGACACAGUCGACGUGAUUCGUCACAGUCGACGUGAUUCGACAUAGUCGAGGUGAUUCGACACUAAAAACCGUCUACACGGGUUGAGUACAUCCUAUGUCGCCGCAUACGUUAAUGUCCUCGCGAAACAUUAACGAUCAACCUGUUCAUAGACGCUUUACAUACCCAUUUACAACACUAAAACUUUCAUAUAUUCAUAAUAUUCAUUUGAUGGAAACUCACAAAUACAUGAAUUACAAAUUUUGUAACGUUUUUCAAGUUAUACCUAAGUAAGAGGAAGCGCUGAUCCUGCUUACAAAGGUUCGUCUGGGCUCGGCCCAUUCUCUCUCGUGCAAUGCACCAACACUCUCGUGGGCUAGACCCACAGUUCUCAUAUAUCAUGCCAAGAAAAUGAUUUUACUAUAUUUUCUCAACAACUUUAAACCGGUUACCAAAAAGAUUUAUUUUAAAUCUUUUCAAAGCAAACUAUGAACUCGCUCAACUUUAUGUUGACUUUUUCGCAUGUUCUUUCUCACGUUGCAUUUUUCAAAACUACGGAACGGUUGGAAUAGGAUAACCCACGGGAUUUCGAGUACUUAGCAGGCGUUUAAUUUCUAGAAGUCUUAGCUUAUUUGCUUCCGCUGUGCAAUGAAGAUACCGGUCCAGUCACGCCAGCUCUGAUAUUUCGGGGUGUGACAGAUCGAGACUGAGAUUUACACAGCGGGGCUAGUGGUGGUUGAAAAACCCACUCUUGUAGGGUUUUGGCAGGUGAUUGCGGGGGCGGAUCAUUGGGAGCACGAAAAGUCGAAGGGGAGGGUGUCGUUUGUUAGGGACCCACUAUACAGGUAUCUGCACCAUUUGCUCGCCACUUCUAUUUCAGCGCGCGGCUACAGCCGUGAGUGGUGUACGACCACAGAUCUUUUUUUCCUUUACUGUUUGUUGUAUAGGAGGCCGUGCGCGCUAGCACACGGUCUAGCCCAGUACUUCGCCUCCGGCCAUCACCGGCAGGAGCGCGGAUUUUUGUAUGGCGGGGCGUACGUGACCGUCAUUGCCCGUUCAUUGGGCCUCGUACCACACCAGGACCCACAUCUACGGACGCCGGCCAUCAUGCCGACGCGGAUGGGUAUGCAGUCGCUAUGGGGGAUGAGGGUUAUCAGGAGGUUCCCCAUUGGCCCGCGGUUUAAAAACCGCGAAGGGGGCGUAUGGACAGAGCAGGCCUUACCAGAGCAUUUCGAGCCCGUUCAUCCUCCUGCAGAUCCUGCUGAUGUAGUGCCCGUGGAGGACCCUCCGGAGGAUCUAGACGGUGCAGCGGAGCCACAGCCACCGCCACCUGCCGGGGCACCUCAGUUUCCACGUCACGUUAUUCGAGGUCGUGCCCCAGGAGCUGCGCUACAUCCGGAUGUACGAGCCAGGCUUGACAGGCUCGACGAUUUGGUAGGUUGGCUGGUACGGGCGGAGCAGGAUAGACGAGAGAGAGAGGGAUUACCCCCGAUACCGCUUCCACCGGUUCGAGCGCCACAUCAGGAGCACCAGCCGCAGCAGCAGCAUCAGGAUUCAGAUUCGGAUUUGGAUGCAUAGACCUGUUGUUGUUUUUAUUGUUAUUAUGGAUGUACAAACUUAUCUUAUAUAUUUUUGUUAUGGAUGUAAACAGUUAUCUUAUAUAUGUCAUAUUUAUGUUUGUUUUCAG